This 714-nucleotide ribosomal RNA is filed under the name Salmonella enterica. RNAcentral's name for it is "partial 23S ribosomal RNA". It matches the Rfam family "Bacterial large subunit ribosomal RNA", at positions 2220 to 2925 of the family's 2925-position model. The record is from RNAcentral. Lineage: Bacteria; Pseudomonadati; Pseudomonadota; Gammaproteobacteria; Enterobacterales; Enterobacteriaceae.
UUCUAACGUGGACCCGUGAUCCGGGUUGCGGACAGUGUCUGGUGGGUAGUUUGACUGGGGCGGUCUCCUCCUAAAGAGUAACGGAGGAGCACGAAGGUUGGCUAAUCCUGGUCGGACAUCAGGAGGUUAGUGCAAUGGCAUAAGCCAGCUUGACUGCGAGCGUGACGGCGCGAGCAGGUGCGAAAGCAGGUCAUAGUGAUCCGGUGGUUCUGAAUGGAAGGGCCAUCGCUCAACGGAUAAAAGGUACUCCGGGGAUAACAGGCUGAUACCGCCCAAGAGUUCAUAUCGACGGCGGUGUUUGGCACCUCGAUGUCGGCUCAUCACAUCCUGGGGCUGAAGUAGGUCCCAAGGGUAUGGCUGUUCGCCAUUUAAAGUGGUACGCGAGCUGGGUUUAGAACGUCGUGAGACAGUUCGGUCCCUAUCUGCCGUGGGCGCUGGAGAACUGAGGGGGGCUGCUCCUAGUACGAGAGGACCGGAGUGGACGCAUCACUGGUGUUCGGGUUGUCAUGCCAAUGGCACUGCCCGGUAGCUAAAUGCGGAAGAGAUAAGUGCUGAAAGCAUCUAAGCACGAAACUUGCCCCGAGAUGAGUUCUCCCUGAGACUUUAGGUCUCCUGAAGGAACGUUGAAGACGACGACGUUGAUAGGCCGGGUGUGUAAGCGCAGCGAUGCGUUGAGCUAACCGGUACUAAUGAACCGUGAGGCUUAACCUUACA